CUACGUGCCAGCAGCCGCGGUAAUACGGAAGGUCCGGGCGUUAUCCGGAUUUAUUGGGUUUAAAGGGAGCGUAGGCGGACUGUUAAGUCAGCGGUUAAAGAGUGUGGCUCAACCAUACGAUGCCGUUGAAACUGGUGGUCUUGAGUGCACACAGGGAUGCUGGAACUCGUGGUGUAGCGGUGAAAUGCUUAGAUAUCACGAUGAACUCCGAUCGCGAAGGCAGGUGUCCGGGGUGUAACUGACGCUGAGGCUCGAAAGUGUGGGUAUCAAACAGGAUUAGAUACCCUGGUAGUCCACACAGUAAACGAUGAAUACUCGCAGUUUGCGAUACAAUGUAAGCUGCCAAGCGAAAGCAUUAAGUAUUCCACCUGGGGAGUACGCCGGCAACGGUGAAACUCAAAGGAAUUGACGGGGGCCCGCACAAGCGGAGGAACAUGUGGUUUAAUUCGAUGAUACGCGAGGAACCUUACCCGGGCUUGAAC
Molecule: ribosomal RNA, 482 nt
Filed under: uncultured bacterium
Lineage: Bacteria
Description: bacterial SSU rRNA
Rfam family: Bacterial small subunit ribosomal RNA
Source: RNAcentral